UCGCUGACGAGUGGCGGACGGGUGAGUAAUGUCUGGGAAACUGCCUGAUGGAGGGGGAUAACUACUGGAAACGGUAGCUAAUACCGCAUAACGUCGCAAGACCAAAGAGGGGGACCUUCGGGCCUCUUGCCAUCGGAUGUGCCCAGAUGGGAUUAGCUAGUAGGUGGGGUAACGGCUCACCUAGGCGACGAUCCCUAGCUGGUCUGAGAGGAUGACCAGCCACACUGGAACUGAGACACGGUCCAGACUCCUACGGGAGGCAGCAGUGGGGAAUAUUGCACAAUGGGCGCAAGCCUGAUGCAGCCAUGCCGCGUGUAUGAAGAAGGCCUUCGGGUUGUAAAGUACUUUCAGCGGGGAGGAAGGGAGUAAAGUUAAUACCUUUACUCAUUGACGUUACCCGCAGAAGAAGCACCGGCUAACUCCGUGCCAGCAGCCGCGGUAAUACGGAGGGUGCAAGCGUUAAUCGGAAUUACUGGGCGUAAAGCGCACGCAGGCGGUUUGUUAAGUCAGAUGUGAAAUCCCCGGGCUCAACCUGGGAACUGCAUCUGAUACUGGCAAGCUUGAGUCUCGUAGAGGGGGGUAGAAUUC
RNAcentral lists this ribosomal RNA (588 nucleotides) under Enterobacteriaceae bacterium HGH0042. RNAcentral describes it as "bacterial SSU rRNA". It matches the Rfam family "Bacterial small subunit ribosomal RNA", at positions 85 to 669 of the family's 1533-position model. Lineage: Bacteria; Pseudomonadati; Pseudomonadota; Gammaproteobacteria; Enterobacterales; Enterobacteriaceae. The record is from RNAcentral.